This 461-nucleotide ribosomal RNA is filed under the name uncultured bacterium. Its description in RNAcentral is "partial 16S ribosomal RNA". It matches the Rfam family "Bacterial small subunit ribosomal RNA", at positions 338 to 795 of the family's 1533-position model. The record is from RNAcentral.
CCUACGGGAGGCAGCAGUGAGGAAUAUUGGUCAAUGGGCGCGAGCCUGAACCAGCCAAGUAGCGUGAAGGAUGACUGCCCUACGGGUUGUAAACUUCUUUUAUAAAGGAAUAAAGUGAGGCACGUGUGCCUUUUUGUAUGUACUUUAUGAAUAAGGAUCGGCUAACUCCGUGCCAGCAGCCGCGGUAAUACGGGGGAUGCAAGCGUUAUCCGGAUUUAUUGGGUUUAAAGGGUGCGUAGGCUGGGAGGUAAGUCAGCGGGGAAAUGCCCCCGCGCGACGGGGUGAAGUGCCAUUGAUACUGCCGUGCUGGAAUGCGCAUGACGUUGGAGGAAUGUGUGGGGUAGCGGUGAAAUGCAUAGAGAUCACACAGAACACCGAUUGCGAAGGCAGCACACGAAUCCGCGAUUGACGCUGAUGCACGAAAGCGGGGGUAUCAAACAGGAUUAGAUACCCUUGUAGUC